UAUGGCUGUGGAGACAAGUGAAACGGAAGGCGCAUGGGAAGUGGGAGGAGGAGGUGGUAACGAUUUUAAAUGGAGUAGUCAGGAUGGACUCACCGAGAGGAUCACAUUUGAGAGGGGUCAAACCGUGGAGGAUUCCCAGUGGGGGAACAGCUGGAGCAAAGGUCCUGAGGCAAGAGAGUGCCUGGCACGUUCCCAAAACAGCACGGAGGCCAAUAGGGCUGGAGCAGUGAACGAGGAGGUCCCAAGGCUGUCAUCUGUGGUGGCAGGAGGUUCAUCCCAUCUGCAGCCAGUGGAACCUUAGGAGGCAGUGCUCCUCUAUUUUAUUGCUGACCCUCCAGAGACUUUAGAAAGCAGCUCUACAGGCUGGAUACCUCUCAACCUGACCUCUGGAGACUGCAAGGCCCAAGUGUAGGAAAGGAUAUGGCUACUCACCUAUCUUUUUUUUUUCUUUGAGACAGAAUCUUGCUCUGUCACCUAGGCUGGAGUGCAGUGGCGUGAUCUCGGCUCACUGCAACCUCCGCCUCCCAGGUUCUAAUGAUCGUAAUGAUCCUUUUGCCUCAGCCUCCUGAGUAGCUGGGAUUACAGAUGCAUGCCACCAUGCCUGGCUAAUUUUUUUUUUUCAUUAGAGAUGGGGUUUCACCAUGUUGGCCAGGAAGGUCUUGAACUCCUGACUUUGAGUGAUCUGCUCGCCUCAGCCUCCCAAAGUGCUGGGAUUACAGGCGUGAGCCACCGUGCCUGGCAGCUACUCAACGAUCUUUCCAGCUCUCCUCUCCUUCCGGCCACACAGGAGGGUUGCGUGUCCACACCCCCCUGAAGUAAGGCAUGAUGCCAGAACUUGCUUUGGAUGAUGACACAGAAACAGCAGUGAUACACCACUUCUGGAUGGCAGCACUGAAGAGCCAAGGUGUGAUUCUCCAACCUGUCUUUUCCCUGGCUCUGUUCAGUCUAGAGGCCCAUGUUGAUAUGGAGGUGCCCCAAGGUCAAAGCCUGGAAUUCUGGGCCACCAAAUAGAGAAUGACUGCCCUGGAACAUCCCCUCAGAGCCACAGAUGUUGAGUCACUGAGGUUAGGAGGUGGUUUGUUACUGCAGCAGAACUCAGCCUAACCUGACUUAUUCACCAGUCCUGGUUCUAGAAAGCUACAUAAUCAGGGGGUAGGUAGGCCCAAAAGCACCACUAAGCCAGGGUGCCUCACCUCCCCUCAUUGAUCCUUUAGAAAGAAGGAAAGUCCGGCCUUCCCCAGCAAGGCAGUGCUGCUCUGACCUAUGCAUGCUUCAGGACAUGAGAUGUUAGUGAGCUGCUUGGUCCCAAAGAGCAAGAUCAGGGAAAGUGAGUGCUCCAGAGACACCAAUCGUGGUGCCCACCAUCCCACAGCCACCCAGAGGCCUCUGCCCCAGAGCCUAGGAUGACAGUGUCCAAGACUCUGGAGUGUGAAGGUGGAAAUGCUGUGAGAAUGAGGGAGGUGGGGGGAGGGCUGGAGGAAAAAGAGGUGUCAUGCAACCUGAUAUAGGAGGAGGUCAACAGAGUGGAAACACAGAGAUGAGUGGAAUCUGCACAAGAGUUGGGGGAGCAGCCAGGCCCCCAGGCCUGUCAGCCAGCCUUGUUUCAGGGUCUCUUGAGCAAGCCUGUGUUUCUUCCAUUCAUAGCAGGACUGUGCAGAAAGGCAGUGCCAACAUCCUAGGAACCUGCACCUCCUUUCUGGCCAGUCAACAAAUCCACCCAUGAGACUUCUCUCCCAGUCCCUCCCAGUCCUGUCUGACCCUUUUCUACAUAUACAGAGUUAAGUGCCACAAGGAGGCUCAUUCUGCACGUGUCCCCGGGGCCUAGAAUUCCAUUUGGCAUGGAGUGAGUGCUCUCUGUAUAUACUACUUGUGCCAUGAAACAAUUCUGAGUUCCCCAGGGAGAGCCAUCUGCUCCUCUGGAGGCUACCACCUGUCUUCCAUCUGAGCUUUUGUCUUCCCGGGUGCCUGAGUCAGCAUCUCUGUUAUCUGGCCCCUUCUGACCUCCCCUGCCUGCCGAGGGAGGAAUGAGUCCAUACUGCUCAUCACAGCAUCCCCAGGGCUCAGCACAUAAGUGGGAGCACCGGUCCCUGCUGUCCCAGAGCUACUGUGGCUCCAUGCCUGGUGCUCAUGGGAAACCACACCUGCACAGGCCCUGGCCUCUUGUGGCCAUUGCCUUCAGGACUUCUCCUCUUUCAUGCCCCUCUGCAUCUGACCCAAGACCCACCUAUUUGCCCAUCCCCCAUCCCCCACCGCUGCCCUUGCCUCAUCUCCUGACUCUGGGUGGUCCCCAAAGCCCAGCCCCUUGCUCUGGUCCAAGAGUCAAGGCAGGCCAAGUGCAAAGAAGAGGCUGGGCCAAGGGACACGAGUUGUACUGACUUUAUUCCCCUUCAUCCUCUCACUCGCAUGCCUGCUGUGCC
This 2417-nucleotide long non-coding RNA is filed under the name Homo sapiens (human). RNAcentral's name for it is "HSALNT0053584". Lineage: Eukaryota; Metazoa; Chordata; Mammalia; Primates; Hominidae. The record is from RNAcentral.